AAUGUAAUUAAGGGUGGGCGGUAUUUAUUUUUGGGCAUGGAAUCUAGUGGGCAUAGAGGACUCCUUCCAUACUUGAAACACUUCCAAGUUGGAUAAGAGUCAAAUUAAAAUAGAUCCAAUCCAAUUAGGUCAAAGAUAACUGAUCUAGUUUAGCUCAAAUACUUUGAACUUAAUCAAAUUAGAAACUUAGGUUAACAUAAUAUGCUAG
RNAcentral lists this long non-coding RNA (208 nucleotides) under Elaeis guineensis (African oil palm). Its description in RNAcentral is "long non-coding RNA (EGUI_LNC056989)". The record is from RNAcentral. Lineage: Eukaryota; Viridiplantae; Streptophyta; Magnoliopsida; Arecales; Arecaceae.